ACUCCUACGGGAGGCAGCAGUGGGGAAUAUUGCACAAUGGGGGAAACCCUGAUGCAGCAACGCCGCGUGAGUGAUGAAGGCCUUCGGGUUGUAAAGCUCUGUCCUUGGGGACGAUAAUGACGGUACCCAAGGAGGAAGCCACGGCUAACUACGUGCCAGCAGCCGCGGUAAUACGUAGGUGGCAAGCGUUGUCCGGAUUUACUGGGCGUAAAGGGAGCGUAGGUGGAUAUUUAAGUGGGAUGUGAAAUACUCGGGCUUAACCUGGGUGCUGCAUUCCAAACUGGAUAUCUAGAGUGCAGGAGAGGAAAGUAGAAUUCCUAGUGUAGCGGUGAAAUGCGUAGAGAUUAGGAAGAAUACCAGUGGCGAAGGCGACUUUCUGGACUGUAACUGACACUGAGGCUCGAAAGCGUGGGGAGCAAACAGGAUUAGAUACCCUGGUAGUC
Molecule: ribosomal RNA, 443 nt
Filed under: uncultured bacterium
Lineage: Bacteria
Description: bacterial SSU rRNA
Rfam family: Bacterial small subunit ribosomal RNA
Source: RNAcentral